CACGUAGUUAGCCGUGGCUUUCUGGUUAGGUACCGUCAAGGUGCCGCCCUAUUUGAACGGCACUUGUUCUUCCCUAACAACAGAGCUUUACGAUCCGAAAACCUUCAUCACUCACGCGGCGUUGCUCCGUCAGACUUUCGUCCAUUGCGGAAGAUUCCCUA
This 161-nucleotide ribosomal RNA is filed under the name uncultured bacterium. Its description in RNAcentral is "partial 16S ribosomal RNA". The record is from RNAcentral.